CAGUCGCCGCGGUAAUACGUAGGUGGCAAGCGUUGUCCGGAAUUAUUGGGCGUAAAGGGCUCGCAGGCGGUUUCUUAAGUCUGAUGUGAAAGCCCCCGGCUCAACCGGGGAGGGUCAUUGGAAACUGGGAAACUUGAGUGCAGAAGAGGAGAGUGGAAUCCCACGUGUAGCGGUGAAAUGCGUAGAGAUGUGGAGGAACACCAGUGGCGAAGGCGACUCUCUGGACCAUAACUGACGCUGAGGCACGAAAGCUAGGGGAGCAAACAGGAUUAGAUACCCGCGUAGUCCCUGUCUCUUAUAC
This 301-nucleotide ribosomal RNA is filed under the name uncultured bacterium. Its description in RNAcentral is "partial 16S ribosomal RNA". It matches the Rfam family "Bacterial small subunit ribosomal RNA", at positions 509 to 807 of the family's 1533-position model. The record is from RNAcentral.